Molecule: long non-coding RNA, 1024 nt
Organism: Hydra vulgaris (swiftwater hydra)
Lineage: Eukaryota; Metazoa; Cnidaria; Hydrozoa; Anthoathecata; Hydridae
Source: RefSeq, a predicted model, not a curated record
UGAACCAAAUUAUUUAUAAAUAUAAGGAAAAUAUGAAAAAAUACACAGAACCUGUUUUCCCAUUAUAGAGCAAAUUGGACCAAGAGUACAAAUAGCUCUGUUAAAACCGUAAAAAUUAACUUUAGUUAAAUAAAAAGAGAUUUUUCAAAUUGUCAGAGUGAACAAAUAUAUUUACAUUUAAAAGUAUCAAAAAAAUAUGUAAAAAUUUUAGGUAUACCUAAAAUUUACUUAGUUGUAAGUACAAUACAUUAUCGGCGUGUAUAUAGUUUAUUAUAAUUGUGUGUGAAAAAACCUUAAAUACAAAAUUUUAUACUGCUUAACUCUUUCGUUAAUUGUGAUGUGUUUUAAUUUAUUAUAUAGUUAUACUGUUAAUUCAUAGUAAUACUGUUAAACAUUAAGGUGCGUUUGAGGAUGAUCCUAUUAAGGGAUUGAGUUUUGCAAAAUCAUAGCUGAACAGUUUUUUACAAAUUACAAGACAGUGGACAGUAUCCAUUUCACUGGUGUUUAACAUAUCAAUGGCUUUGGAACUCAUUGCAAACAUAAGUAUUUUGAUUACCUGGAAAAAUUUGCUGAAAAGAUUCUUCUGUAAUCUAUUGAUUUUAUAAGACCAAGCAAUAAAAAUUCAGCAAUAAAAAUAGAAAACUGUUUUGAAGCAAUUAAAAGACUGCUCAAACGAGAAACAAGAAUUGUACAUUGGGCCUCGGGUGAAUGUUGAAAAAUAUUAUCCAAUAUCAAAAAAGCAUUAUUUGACUCAGCUUCAACUAUUCAAGUUUUCACCGGCACCAAGACAAAAGGGAUAGCACAAUUGGCGAUUAGAGAAAGCAAAGUAGCACGAUUUGUUAACACCAGAGAUCGCUCUAAAGAUUUGCUAUGAUAAGACAGAAGUUUCAAUGGAGGAAGAGAAAAAAGAAAAUAGUAAAGAAAGUAGUGAGAAAGAAAGUAAUAACGAAUCUUAAAAAUAAAGCGGAAGAUUAUGUUUUAAGUAAAUAUUGAUAUCAUGUAAUAAUAUUAAUACUAUAUAAAU